Long non-coding RNA from Rhododendron vialii, 177 nucleotides. RefSeq lists it as uncharacterized. The record is from RefSeq and is a predicted model, not a curated record. NCBI's taxonomy places the organism in Eukaryota, Viridiplantae, Streptophyta, Magnoliopsida, Ericales, Ericaceae. The transcript is spliced from 2 exons.
GUCAUUGAAUUCCAGAAAUUUCCACUUUCUAUAAGUGAGGAACGACUAGAAAUGCUCAACUCUAAUGAGAUCGAGCAACUGACGUGAUUAAAUCAUAGGCGUGAUAGAGAGUUGAGAGUCCAAUGACAAAACUACAAGAGGGAAAAUUUAAAUGUUACAGCGCUCUUAAUUCCCAAU